Molecule: ribosomal RNA, 468 nt
Filed under: uncultured bacterium
Lineage: Bacteria
Description: partial 16S ribosomal RNA
Rfam family: Bacterial small subunit ribosomal RNA
Source: RNAcentral
GACGAACGCUGGCGGCGUGCUUAACACAUGCAAGUCGAACGGAAAGGCCCUGCUUUUGCGGGGUGCUCGAGUGGCGAACGGGUGAGUAACACGCUAGUAACCUGCCCUUGACUUUGGGAUAACUUCAGGUAACUGGGGCUACUACCGGAUAGGAGCUCCUGCUGCAUGGUGGGGGUUGGAAAGCUUCGGCGGUUGGGGAGGGACUCGCGGCUUAUCUGCUGGUUGGUGGGGUAGUGGCUUACCAAGGCUUUGACGGGUAGCCGGCCUGAGAGGGUGAACGGCCAAAUUGGGACUGAGACACGGCGCUGUGUGCACUGGGAGGCAGCACUGGGGAGUAUUGCCCAAGGGAGGGAAGCCUAAUGCAGGACCCCCGCGUCGGGGAUGACGGCCUGCGGCUUCUAAAGGGCUGUAGCCUGUGACGAAGCGGGAGUGACGGUACCGGGUAAGGAAGAAACGGCUAACUACGUG